UACGAGGGGGGCAAAUGUUGUUCGGAGUCACUGGGCGUAAAGGGAGCGUAGGCGGGCUCUUAAGUUAGGUGUUUAAUCCCGGGGCCCAACCCCGGUCGUGCACUUAAAACUGGGAGUCUUGAAUAGUGGAGAGGUCAGUGGAAUUGGGGGUGUAGCGGUGGAAUGCGUAGAGAUCCCCAAGAACACCAGUUGCGAAGGCGGCUGACUGGACACAUAUUGACGCUGAGGCACGAAAGCGUGGGGAUCAAACAGG
Molecule: ribosomal RNA, 253 nt
Filed under: uncultured bacterium
Lineage: Bacteria
Description: partial 16S ribosomal RNA
Rfam family: Bacterial small subunit ribosomal RNA
Source: RNAcentral